ACGGAGGGUGCGAGCGUUGUCCGGAAUCACUGGGCGUAAAGGGCGCGUAGGCGGCCUCUUAAGCGUGCGGUGAAAGCUCGGGGCUCAACUCCGAGUCGGCCGUGCGAACUGGGGGGCUGGAGCACAGUAGAGGCAGAUGGAAUUCCCGGUGUAGCGGUGAAAUGCGUAGAGAUCGGGAGGAACACCAGAGGCGAAGGCGGCGACCUGGACAGGAACUGACACUCAACUACGAAAGCGUGGGGAGCAAACAGGA
This 253-nucleotide ribosomal RNA is filed under the name uncultured prokaryote. RNAcentral's name for it is "partial 16S ribosomal RNA". It matches the Rfam family "Bacterial small subunit ribosomal RNA", at positions 525 to 777 of the family's 1533-position model. The record is from RNAcentral.